Biomphalaria glabrata is the source of this 320-nucleotide long non-coding RNA. RefSeq lists it as uncharacterized. Lineage: Eukaryota; Metazoa; Mollusca; Gastropoda; Planorbidae. The transcript is spliced from 3 exons. The record is from RefSeq and is a predicted model, not a curated record.
AUGAGGACUUACAUCCUUUGUUUGGCAAGUCUGGUCUCGUUGGUAUGCUCAUUAUCUGCACAAACGAAAACUAAAGGCGAGAUCAAAGUCAAUGGAAAUGAAGUUGUGGACUGCAUUAACAGAAAAUGUGCCAUCUCUGUUCCAAGGCUGGGUCUCUAUAUUCCAAAAAUCAAAAUCCCACGACGCAAAAAUCAAAUUAUUCUGAGACCUUCAUUUGGUGAAAGGAUCUACCACUUGAAAAACAAUGGUUCAUGAGUGUAUUGCAGAGACAUGUACUCGGUGGCCCAUCCUGGCAAUAAAUUAAACUAAUAAUAAUUCAU